RNAcentral lists this long non-coding RNA (2092 nucleotides) under Marmota monax (woodchuck). The record is from RNAcentral. Lineage: Eukaryota; Metazoa; Chordata; Mammalia; Rodentia; Sciuridae.
ACACUCGGCCUUUUGCAAAGCUCUGCUGUGGAGCUCGCCUGGCCUGUGUGAGGCCCUGGGUUCCAUCCCCAGCAGACAGGGGCCACACACACACACACACCCCGGGAAGGGGCGGAGAGCUGGGCUGGGGAGGCUCAGAAGCAGAGGAAGAGAAGGACGAGCUGGUUAGUUGCCAGAGAUGUUUUGAAAUUCCCGCAAAAUGCAGCCUUUUGGAAGGAAACUUCCCCUUUGGUGACAUGAUGGAAACGAACCACAGAAGAUCUGAAGCAUUGAAAGAACUUCCCCAGGUUUGAAUUAGACCAGGCCUCAUUCAAAUCAGCACCCCGUCCCACGAAAUUCGGAUCCCUCCACCCCCACUGCAGACGGAAAGGAACAGGAAUCACCCACUCAAGAUGGCACCCGGGCCGCCCUCUGGUUGGUGGGCUCGGGUCACAUGACCCCAAGGAGACCCUUGAAGGUUGACACCAUCUUUUGUGAGGCUCCCAAAGGGCACUCGGAGGUUGGCUGGGCUGCUUGUGGUAGGGAAGGAACAGGAGCCGGCCCAACAUGGGAGGCCAGUGCUGCAUGGGCCCACGUAGGCCCCACAGUAAAUUCCUGAAAAGGCUCAGGGAAAGGAAGAUUUGAAAUGUUGCAAGUUUUGCUCCUUCCUUCUCCAUAACUCUAGAACUUUCUAUUGCCCAAGUGUUUCCUUCUGCAGGUUUUAACAAUGUUUUGCAAUGUAGAAUUGAAAAACCAGUUUAAAAAUACCUUUUAAAGAAAAAAAAAUUGAAACUCUGUAGAAAGCAAAAAGAGUUUGUGUCCAUCUCAUCAUCUGCCUGACACUGCAGUGCAGACUCCGUGACGUCAUCUCCCUACACUCCUACCACAUCACCCCCUCCCACCGGUCUCCUUGCUGUUUGUUGGCCACACUCCCACCUCAGGACCUUUGCACUGGCUUCUCUGUCCUUGGAAAGCAUUUUUGUAGACGCGGGCGGCUUACUCCUUUUCCUCCUGGUCUUCACUCACACACGACCUUCUUGAUGAGCAAGAGUAACUCUCCUGCUUACAAUGGCACCAGUCCCCCCUGGGCUUACCUAUUUUGUCUUUGUUCUGUAGCAUUCCCUCCUUUCUAACUUACGGGGCAAUUGCUUCUUUAUUGCAUUUAUUGCUUCUUGCCCGCCCCCCUCGGGAGGCUGUAAGUCCCACUAGCGACCUUCAGUGGGUGCUCCUGGUCUAAAACAGUGCCCGUCACAGAGCAGAUGUUCAGUACAUUUUUGCUCAAUGAAUUAAAUGAACAAAGAGUGGCUAAUAGUGGCUACUGUUUAUUGAGGACUUAAUUUGUGUCAAGCGCCGUUCUAAGUACAUUCUCCCAGCAACCCUUAAGGAAAUUUUUUUUUAAUAUUUAUUUUUCAGUUGUGUAGUUGGACACAAUACCUUCAUUUUAUUUACUUGUAUGUGGUGCCGAGGAUCAGACCCAGGGCCUCGCAUGUGCUAGGCGAGUGCUCUACCGCUGAGCCACAACCCGGGCCCCUAAGGAAAGUUUAAACAAACCCCUUUUACAAAUGAAGAACCCUGGGCACAGAGAGGCUAAGCAACUUACCUAAGACCAUUCAGUAAGGUGAAUGUCAGUGCCAGGGUUUGAACCCAAGCAGAGUGCCGCCAGAGCCCACGGUAUCAACCAUGAUGCCGUGUUUGCCUCUCGUGAGAUGUAAAGAGGGGGGACCUCACAAGGUGGGCCGGGCUCUGCCCUCAAGAGUGGAUCAAUCCACCCACAGGACUGACGGAUUAACGAGUUAUCUCAAAAGUGGGUCUGCUAUUUAAAAAGCCACUCUGGCUGCGUCUCACGCGCACCCUGUCUCUGGCCGCGUGAGGCCCUGGGCACCUCUGGACUGCCAGCAAGACCGCUACCGCCAGAUGCGGCCCCUCAGCGCGGGCCCAGAACCGCGCGGGCCCAGCCUCCAGGUUGUCAUUCACAGCAGAAAUGGGCCACGCGACCUUCCUCUGUGGAGGCCUCUCUUUACCCUGCAGGGUGGUGACAGGCGGGGUGCGGAUGUGGGUGCCCUGCAGCUCAGGGGCUCCUGGACCUUCCCACCACCCUCGGCAGGGUCUCCAG